ACCUACGGGGGGCAGCAGUGGGGAAUAUUGCACAAUGGGGGAAACCCUGAUGCAGCGACGCCGCGUGAGCAAUGAAGUAUCUCGGUAUGUAAAGCUCUAUCAGCAGGGAAGAAAGUGACAGUACCUGACUAAGAAGCCCCGGCUAACUACGUGCCAGCAGCCGCGGUAAUACGUAGGGGGCAAGCGUUAUCCGGAUUUACUGGGUGUAAAGGGAGCGUAGACGGUGCAGCAAGUCUGAUGUGAAAGGUCGGGGCCCAACCCCGGGACUGCAUUGGAAACUGUUGAACUGGAGUACAGGAGAGGUA
Molecule: ribosomal RNA, 305 nt
Filed under: uncultured bacterium
Lineage: Bacteria
Description: bacterial SSU rRNA
Rfam family: Bacterial small subunit ribosomal RNA
Source: RNAcentral